This 199-nucleotide long non-coding RNA is filed under the name Phoenix dactylifera (date palm). Its description in RNAcentral is "long non-coding RNA (PDAC_LNC013479)". Lineage: Eukaryota; Viridiplantae; Streptophyta; Magnoliopsida; Arecales; Arecaceae. The record is from RNAcentral.
UUUUAUUUAUGGACAUUUGAAAUUAUGUAAUCAAUCAGUACAUUUUAGUUGGAUUUGAUUUAAUUACAUUAAUCUUUAAUUUUGGCAUUUUUGGGAAUAUUGUACCUUUUUAGGCCUUACAUGAUCUCUAGGGUUUUACUUUAGGGAUUAUGUGGCCGUGUCACGUGGUCGACCCGAGUGAUGGGUUUGGGGCGUGACA